Molecule: ribosomal RNA, 7333 nt
Filed under: Triticum aestivum (bread wheat)
Lineage: Eukaryota; Viridiplantae; Streptophyta; Magnoliopsida; Poales; Poaceae
Description: partial small subunit ribosomal RNA
Source: RNAcentral
GCGGGCGCACGUACUCCAAAAGGGGUUAGGCGUGGGACGCAAGGGGUCGGUUAGGUAGGAGCGGAGCAGGGUGAGGGCGUGGUCGGUGGCGGGUUUGGGAUCGGGGGAAAGGGGAGCUAGGGGUGUUGGAGAGGGCGGAGAUAGGGAGGAGGAGCGCAGUGGUGCCGGAGGCGGGGCCUCGGAGCGGCGGCGGACUAUUAUGAGGAGGUGGUACGAUCGGGGAGGUGGAGUGGAAGGAAGAAAAACAAUAGACGCGGGCAGUAGCUACGGACCAAGGUCUAGCCCGCGCCCAAUCUGCUCCAGCUACCACCCCACUUACCCGUCCGCCCCCUGCUCCCGUCCGUUGUCAGCCGGGCAGCGCUACACCACUUCGAUGUCCCUUCUCCCUCCUCCAGCCGCUGUCCCACUUCCUCGUUCGGCCAGGGGUACCUCCGUCGCGAUGGUCGGUCGAUCCCUCCGCCAGGCCGAGCGGAGACGAUACGGCACUCGCCGCCGCGAUGGAGACGGAGGUCGGAGUGGAGGAGACGGUUGGUACCCUUUUAAAACCCCUCUGGGUUCCACUCGAAGGGGAGGCAACGUACUGGGUUCUUAUUAUUAAGUUCACCUACCGGAUACGCAGAACAACAAAUCGCCAUACUACCAGCCACUUUCAUACAAGAUAUAUAUAACGUUCCUAGUAUUCUACGAAAAUUUGUACUAACACACUACGAGUCUCUGUAAAACGUGUCAUCUUUGAAGAACACUUCGAACUAAAAUAAGUCUCGGUAUACUAAAAAAAUAUCUUUGUACUCGUCUCAUUUUACCUGUGUCGAAGACCAUGUAGACUCCUGUCACACUAAAGAAAAGAAUCUUACAACAGUAGAUAUAGAACGACUUCAUGUCUUGAUAACGUGGCUGCUGGUGUUACCCUACCUAGUUCGUCGGUUCUGAGUCACCAGCUGUCACGCUGAGAAGGUCGUGACUUCAAUACAGAAAACCCGGUUAAAGUUAACGGAGUGAUGGAGAUGUGUACCUAGGACAUCCAUAAAGGAUUACAUUCACAGUGACAAAAAGAAGAAAUACAUGGACCUGCCCUCACGAGUACUCCUACUGCUGUACGAUGACUUGAGUUUAAGUUUUUACUUCAACCCCCGGACCCCAAACCUCGGGGAGUCAUCUUCACGAGUCCGCCGUACAGUAUCAACAAACGACUAUUAAAUGGUUCUUGUUUAAAACGAACAGAGAUCGUAAUCCGAUACUCGGGAUUUCGUCAAGGUCACACUACUAGAUGGAGAACUGAUCCUUCCCCCCUAACUUUCUAUCGUGAACAGCAAACUUCGUUAAUCAUAACCUGAUAAACUCCUUCAUUUACAAAUUUGGUGAUUUGGAAUAUAAGAAAACAUUUUUCCUCCCACGUCUAUUUAUUCUCAACAACCGUCGUCGUUGGAUGUGUACACCUUUGUCACCGAUACCGCCGAGUUUCCCUUCAACACCGGCGAUCUGUCGUUGAGUGUUGAAUCACCGUCGAGUUUCAUGUACAUUAGAUAAAGAAGAACCUCGAUAGAUGAUAUUAUAAUAUGAUGAUAUCAUGUGCUAAAAAACUUAUAAACUUAGACGGGAGAAGAGAGAACAAAAUGGGCGGUGUAGGUUCUACCUUAGUAGACACCGGCAGUUGAAUAAUUUAGCUUACCGGACAUAGUGGGCCUAAGCAGUGGGUGCGUUAGGGCGGUUUGGACUUUUACUCGGCGCGAAGAUCUCUUGAGGUGCUGGGUGCCAUCGGAGGUCCGAGACCGUUUAGUUAAGGGGCGGUUGGAGGAGUGCGACUAGAAAGGGGACAUUAGACCUACGAGGCAUAGGUCAUAAGGUUAAAGAGAUCGGGCGCCCAGUGUGUGGUGGUCGAGGUAACCAGGUAGGGGGGCAGGUGUGUGGGUCGUACCGUCGUGGAGGCUUAGUGGAGGUGCAGGUCUAACGUAGAGGUCGGGACAGAGGAACGUCAGACACCGAACGAGGCUUUAAACAAACGCAGACCACUAAGGUCCGAGUCUCAUCAACCUGUAGGUAGAUGCCGGUCGACUGGUGUCCACGGCGACUAGUGUCCAACACCAACUUUUGUGAACCGAAUGUUUUAGUUCAUUUUAGCUGUUCUACCUUCCGGCCCAAGGUAAGUCUCUAUAAUGUUUACAAGUGGGUUGUUGAAGUGGUUUUUCCUUGAUGAGACAGCAACCUCUCGUCUUACUAGGAAAUCAACUUUGGUCUUUACGAUGCGUUUACUUAAGAAGGGUCGCAUUCGCAAUGGCACUGGCCCUAUCUAUGAACGUUUACUGAGGUAUAGUCUCCCUUCGGAUAAACGUUUCCUUAGCACUCAUGUUUUCUUACUCCGCACUCACGUCGCGUUCAACAUCGUUAUGUGUUGGUCGUGGGGUCGUCUUUUUAUGUUCUCGAUUAUUCUUGUAUACGUACUGUCCUUUCCUUCAGCACCGGUCAAGUUUGAUACUCUUCGUACUAAGCCAUAAAUGAGUUGACCCCAGAAGUAGUUUUCCUUUUGUUCACCGCCUACAACCACCAAGACCGUGUUCAGCAGGUUUUCGACCUUGAGCUAAGUGGUAGUCAGGUAGACCGUAUAUAAAUAGUAGUUAUAGGAACCUUCUAGUUCGACGUUUUAUACUUAACUUUUUACAUGCAGUCGCAUUCGCUGUAGUAACGCAGUUGUACGUGAGUCUUGACAGUGUACUAGUUCUUCUUUGUGUGCAUGUUCUCUAAACACCGGUAUUAUUUUCUGUCUCCGGUCUUUUUCUUUCAACAUCAUGACGUGCCCUAGCACCGUCUCUCUGGUUGUUGAACGUACUUCUGGAGUAAAUACACGGGGUCCUAAGAAAAGGACGGUAAGUACUUAUAGACCGUUUAUGACUUCUGAGGUAACUCAUGCUACUACACCUACUACUCUCAGAUUACAUAUUAUCUGGUACAGAACUGAAACUUAGUAUAGUUCUCGGUUUCGUACAGUGUUUUACGUAUGUUCGUCUAGGUAUACUAGUAUAUAUAGUAUUUAACGGGGCACCGAUAGUAAAAGAUCUCGCUCACGGGUUGACAUCUGUAACGUUACGCUUUUCCAAGGUUAUACUCUGCGGUUGUAAAACAACGUACUUACCUUUUCAUUUCUAUCAUUGGGGUCACCAAGGACUACUUAACGCAGUCAACAUGUACUCGGUCCUAGGUUUACGUUUUAUGAAGGUUCUAGUAUAUGCCACGAAGUUAAGAGUAAAGAGAAAAUGGAGAGAACCACACUAGGACCUGGCUUCUAAGACGUUAUCCUCCAAACCUCAUAUGUGGAAAACGCGUGUCCCGGUUUAAAUAGUGGCAUAACUGGUCAACCAAGGUUUUCUUCUACCGGGGUUCGUAAAUGUCAAUAUGAAGAUACUGUGCCUACGUCUAAACGUUGUUUCUAAAGAAGUGAGCGGUUUGGAACUGGUUUGAGACUAGGCCUUCAACCACUUAUAUGAAAGUUCAUUAGGAAUACGUGUUUAUAAAUCUUUGGAACCAAGAUAAGGUUUGGAACUACUUAUAUUAUAACUCGAAUUGUGUUUAUAACGGAAUCUAGUUUCUCAUAUAUUACGAGACUGUUGUAGUGUUCAUCGUCGUUAAACCCAGCUCCCUUUAUUAGGAGCUUCAAUAAAACUGUCCUCAUAGUACCAAAUGCCAUUUAGCCUAUUUGGUGUUAUGUAUUUUCGUAUGGUACCAACGAUACUAGGUAACAGCAUAGGUGAAAAAAAGGGCUUACCCCUUCAACCUACCUUGGACUUAAAUGGUUUUCAACGAGGGGUACCAUUCUCCUUCUCUUUACUAGUUCGUUUACGAGAGUCACUUCUUCCUCACCUUUUCUCGAGACCAAGAACACAUAGUGGUUCCCUUAUAAUAACAAUAUUCAAUGUUUAUAUUCUACCGCUCAAGUUGCAGAAUGAUAAACCUUUCUCUAAUUGAGUUGUCAUAUAACAACUAUACAUGUAGUUCUAACUUAGUUAUUCCAACCGAAAGAUAAAUGUUGGCAGUUGAGUCCAAGAGUAUGCACGUCUAAAUAUAGUUCCUAACCAACUAUCACAACAUCGGCCACUCUGUGCACGUACGUACUGACCUUUCGCAUAACACGAGGGGAGCUUUAAAUAACCUCCUGGUUCUCUGUACGCAGCUUCCAUAGAUCUACGUUACCGUAACCAGGUUUCCAAACCUUUCGGUCUGAAUAAGUAAUGUUACUGAACGUUGGGCGUUACCCUUCUCUAUUGAUCUCUCGACCUUGGUCCAGUUAGCGGUGUUCUAGCAGGUCUAAACCAUCGUACCCAGAAGUUCCGUUUCAACCUCCUAGAAUUUCUAAAAAAUAAGUUCUCCUUUAAUAAACCACUUCAACAACGUGUACAAGUACAUUAUCUUAAAAUCUUCUCUCCGGAUGGCGUACGUGUGAAGAAUUAAUAAAACUUCAGUUGAACGUUCUAAUGAUUAGGUCUAGUUAUGCUACUCUAUUAUAGUCGUCUCUAGGGUCUAUUUCUGUUUAUGGGACAUGACGUACGAAAUCAAUAAUUCGUGUACUACGUACCUGGUACGCCUCAAGAGUUGUCAUUCUCAUGAACGUACCUUUUACCUUCAACAUCUAUAGUAAUAGGUGCCUGUAAGAGUCUCUUUUGUGAUGUUCCUUUCCUGAGUAUAGGUUAAAUAUCUGCCUCCCUACUACCAACAGCUCAAGCGUAAUCCCCACGCCAGAACCUAUUAUCUACCCAACAAGGAAUAUCAGGUAUAGAUGAAUACGCUAUAUUAACGGUAUAUUUACAUCUUCAAACGAGAUCGUAAUUCCGGCAAUUUAUAAAUAAAUUUAUGUAGAUGUUUCCAGUACUAGCGCGUAGGAAACAGUAACUCAGGUCUCCUCUAUUACAACAAUAACUACUCUAAGCGCUUAUAUCCCUACGUUCCAAAUAUAGUGGAGGUCUCCGAUAUACCUCCUAAAUAAGAAAGUUAGAUUCACUCUACAGUGGAGAUCAAAACGUCAAUGUCCAGGUAAACGGUUUAUACGUAGAACACGUAAUACUUCUAAGACUAUUAAACCUAUCGCACAAUGCGUCUCUUAGUAGAAGUUUUUGUUACGAAUCACUUAUAAAAUCUUACUCAAGACAACUAUAAAAACGUUCCUUAAAGAACAUGUUCCUCAAAGGUCUUAUAAAACACACCCUAUCGUCAACGUUCUUAACCUCUGCAACGUUCGUCUUUGCUUAAGUCUAACCAUCUGAACACAGACGCGUGGGACGACUUCCUCUCGCAAUAAUAAACUCCUAUGAUGAUUUAGUGCACUCCCCUCGGUUUAGUAAACUCCUAGAUGCUUGACAACUAACACAAUAAAAGAGCUGUAAAUCUCUCCGAUGUGUCUCUUCCCCAGAGUAACUCCUACUUGCAUCAUAAAGACUAACAGAGUCGCUCCGACGCCGUAAAGUUUACGGUAGACGUGAAUCUUCUGAAAAACGUUGUUAAAAUCAAAAGACGCUCCAUUGUUUACAGGCACUUGACACCCUGUUCGUAAAACUUCGGUACCCACUACUAAAAGCUUCUCUUUUACAUUUACGACUUCAUUAACUAGUCUACCACGAAUUUCUAGAAUCUUCAAACAAUAUAAGUUACCCUUUCCUGUAUUUCUUGAAACUGAACGGGACGAAUAACCUACUAUUACUAAACCUCUCGAAUCUAACCUCUCUUAAUAUACUACUCUACAAAUAACUCCAACUCGUCCUUGUGAACCUAAACAUAUUGUUCGAUUUGUUACUCGUCGCUGAACGAAAACUACUCUAUUACUGAGUACAGAACGUGGUCUUCUCAUACCAAAAAAAAGUAUCUACCAGGCCCUCCAUGUCUUUUUUGCAUGGAAAUAUUCCGAAACGAGCGAUUUCACGCCAGCUACCCCGCUUAUCCAUAGCGUUGUCGUUGCAGUCCGUAACGACGCAGAUAGUACGGACCGCCAUCUUGUCGUGUAAGGUCCAAGUUUUAAGGGUAAUUAUAAGUCCUACUGUCGUACACGUUGAAGUCAUUUGUCUCACCUUGACGUCUUAAUGAGUUCUCCAGUAGAAAUUAUUAAACCCUGUUUCAACGAUACUGUUUCACAGUUCGACACCUCCGUGAACUAUCUAGGGACGCUCUAUAGUGGCCAACACCUAGUGGGAAACCUCCUUUUCAUCAUCACAAACCUCCACUAAAAUCUGUCCAAGAAGGUCACCACUCCGUACCGUGAUCUCGUGUUAAAUGUCUACGAUGUGAUUUCUUCAGAAUAGAAACCGUUCUGUAUUUUGUAUAGUUUGAAACCGCGUUAUACUCCCGAAACAAACUAGGUACCAAGAAACUAAAAGAGGAAUCUUAACCAUUGUCAUGUCUCCUUAGCUAACCAGUUCUUAUACACGCGGACGGACUUCUUUAACAAUAUCCAAUGUGCCUAAACUUUCGGAGACAAUCAUUCAAUUAACUACUGUAGAAAGGAGAUUACCUGUUUUUACCUUUGAGUGGCAGGAUAUAAUCACGUGCACGUUAAGAAAGGUGUUUCUUACUUAUACACCUACUCAAUUUACUAUACGAAUAACUGGCUAAAGGACCUCUUCUUUUCCAGAUAAUGUCAAAACUGAGUCACCAACUACUAGGUGUAUUAGUGAUAGUUGGACUCAAGGAUUUAAGUGAGUGUGGAUUACCGGAAGGAGGUGUAUAAGAGUCUAACUUCUAGUUGACGGGACAAUAAAACUAAGCGUUGGAACUAGGAAGAUUAUCAAAUACGUUACCAUGUUCCGAAUAGUAAUUCCGUAAAGUUCUCUUGUGAUAACUACGUCUUUAAUAACCGCCUGUUAUACGACCCUUCGCUCACAAGGAAGGUGCUUAAGGAGAAAUAGGAAGUUUCCUACUACAAGAGGGGAAGUUCAAAUUUUCUUUCGUUAAAGGUUAAGCCGAAUCAAAACGGUACUGUUAGUUGUUUCGGGUCCCAGUUUGGUAGGGUUUACAACCGUAGAUAGAAGGACUCGACCACAAGAGAGUACCGGUUGAGAUACAGCGAGACAGAUCUCCCUAUAGUUCUGUUUGUUGAUAUCAUGAACGUUUUGGUUUAUUCCUAUAACUGGGUAGUCCCUUUUCGUGUUUUUUAUAACAGAUGUCCCUACAAAACCAUAUUAAGUACAUGUACGACACAUAACGGCACACUACAAAGAUUAUACCAACAUAAGGACAUUUAUCAUGAUGGGUCCUUUACAUUACAAUAUAUCCCAAAGUCAGUAAUCGAACAGGGACACUCUCAAUAAUACAUGGUUUUCUAUAUAAACGUCACCAUAAUAAGAUCGUAUAUGUUAUG